Molecule: long non-coding RNA, 1142 nt
Organism: Homo sapiens (human)
Lineage: Eukaryota; Metazoa; Chordata; Mammalia; Primates; Hominidae
Exons: 2
Source: RefSeq, a predicted model, not a curated record
GUGUCCGCUGGCGCCCUCUGCUGGCCAGGAGGAGUCACUGCGGCCUCGCUGAGGCAUGGGCCGGGUCUGGAGCCAAGUAGGGUAGACACAAUGGUGAUAAUAAUAUUAAUAAUAGACAGUAUUUAUUGAGCGCUUAUAUAUGCAAAGCGUUUCACAUGGGUUACCUUCCCCUUCUGUUUAAAACUCUUCAAGGGCUUUCCACUGCUUUGAGUAUAAUUCCAAAUUCCUCACCGUGCCGUAAAAAGUGCUCCAUAGUCUAGCCCAGUCUACCUCAUUCUUCGUCGUCCUCACUCAGCCACACUGGAUUUUGAGUUUUCUGAACACAGCAAGCUCCUUUCUGACUCCUGCAGGACCUUUGCCCUUGCUCUUCUCUCUUUAUCUUUGGGCCAGCUAAUUUGGGGGGGCUUGGGGUGUCCUGUGCACUGUAGGAUACUGGGCGGCGUUCCUAGCCUAUACCCACUAGAUACAAGAACAAACCCCCCAAUUCCCAUUGCUGGCAACCAAAAAUCCCCAGACAUUGCCAAAAGUGGAGGGAACUUUAGGGCGGUGCAGUCACCUGGCUUGAGAACUGCUGCGUGUGGAAACCCGGAUCAUCCAUAGCUGACAUCCUCUAAGUCAGGUGGGGCUCAGAUGUCACCUCCCCCGCCAGACUGUCCCAGAUCAGCCGAGUUAAUGUUGCAGCUCACCUUUCUCGAAGUUGCUCUCCAUCAAAUUGCUGCGUUGUAUUUUCGUCUCAGUUCUAGCUAUUUGAAAUACUGCAUCUUAUUUCGUGUUUACCAUGGGUGAUCUGGACUCUCCCUUUAGGCGCUAAACAGCCUGGCCCCCGUAUUUUCUGUGCCACUCCACCCCAUUCCCCUCGCAGAGCUGGAGACUAGGUGUUCAAUGUUGACGGAAUGAAUACAUGAAAUCGUUCAUGUAAUCUUCACAACAACCCUUCGAGGAGUACAGGGAGACCCAGAGAGCUGAAGUUCUCAAAUCACUGGGCUGUUGAAUGGAUUAGAAUCUACGUUUCCUAACAGCCAAGACCAACCUCCACAUCUCUCAUGAAAGGGAUUGGGUGAAUCAACAAAGUGAGACUUCAUAUUAAUAUAAUACUACUAAUAAUAAUUAAUGUUUUUAAUAUUAAAAGAAAUGGACAGAUA